AUUGAACGCUGGCGGCAGGCCUAACACAUGCAAGUCGAACGGUAACAGGAAGCAGCUUGCUGCUUCGCUGACGAGUGGCGGACGGGUGAGUAAUGUCUGGGAAGCUGCCUGAUGGAGGGGGAUAACUACUGGAAACGGUAGCUAAUACCGCAUAAUGUCGCAAGACCAAAGAGGGGGACCUUCGGGCCUCUUGCCAUCGGAUGUGCCCAGAUGGGAUUAGCUUGUUGGUGGGUAACGGCUCACCAAGGCGACGAUCCCUAGCUGGUCUGAGAGGAUGACCAGCCACACUGGAACUGAGACACGGUCCAGACUCCUACGGGAGGCAGCAGUGGGGAAUAUUGCACAAUGGGCGCAAGCCUGAUGCAGCCAUGCCGCGUGUAUGAAGAAGGCCUUCGGGUUGUAAAGUACUUUCAGCGGGGAGGAAGGGAGUAAAGUUAAUACCUUUGCUCAUUGACGUUACCCGCAGAAGAAGCACCGGCUAACUCCGUG
RNAcentral lists this ribosomal RNA (489 nucleotides) under uncultured bacterium. RNAcentral's name for it is "partial 16S ribosomal RNA". It matches the Rfam family "Bacterial small subunit ribosomal RNA", at positions 30 to 507 of the family's 1533-position model. The record is from RNAcentral.